Molecule: ribosomal RNA, 257 nt
Filed under: uncultured bacterium
Lineage: Bacteria
Description: partial 16S ribosomal RNA
Rfam family: Bacterial small subunit ribosomal RNA
Source: RNAcentral
GGGAAGCGAGACUGCAAAGUGGAGCGAAACCCAGAAAAGUACUCUCAGUUCAGAUUGUGGGCUGCAACCCGCCCACAUGAAGUUGGAGUUGCUAGUAAUCGCGGAUCAGCAUGCCGCGGUGAAUACGUUCCCGGGCCUUGUACACACCGCCCGUCACACCAUGGGAGUUGGGAGCGCCCGAAGCCGGUGAGGUAACCGAGAGGAGCCAGCCGUCGAAGGUGAGACCAAUGACUGGGGUGAAGUCGUAACAAGGUAUC